Molecule: long non-coding RNA, 571 nt
Filed under: Pan troglodytes (chimpanzee)
Lineage: Eukaryota; Metazoa; Chordata; Mammalia; Primates; Hominidae
Description: long non-coding RNA NONPTRT006600
Source: RNAcentral
AAUGGGGGCCAAGUAAGUCCUAGAGACAUGCGUGUACCCUGGGAGGGAGCCUGAGGUUCAUCAUCCAGGAAAGAAACCAAAUCUAAUGCUCCUUACCUGUGAGCCUGAGGUCACACUGCAAGGUAGGGAUCAAACAGGGAGCAGACCUCAGGUUUACUGUCGCUUUCUCCACUGCCCAGUCCAUCAUCCAGAAGGCUGUGCAGGGUGGGGGCAGGAAUCAGAGGGCCUGAUGGGGGUUGAGGGUGGGCUGGAAAUGGUGGGAAUAUAAUUGGAGAAGAUGGAUGGGCACGCCCAGGCUGCAGCCCCAUUAAUUUACCAUCCGGACAGCUAACAAGCAGAAGCAGCGUGUCUCCUGCCGCCUAAUUAUUUUAGGUAUACUAUACGUAUCUGGGAGGAUUAAGAGAUAGGACUGCGUGAACUAAUUCACAGCAGGUACUUAGUCGAUGCCUGGUACACAGAAGGCACAAGUCCAAUAAACAGUAGCUGUUGGCCGGGCACAGUGGCUCACGCCUGUAAUCUCAACACUUUGGGAGGCCAAGGCAGGAGAAUUGCAUAUGUCCAGGAGUUUGAG